AUGCACGCUGGCGGCGUGCCUAAUACAUGCAAGUCGAGCGAACAGACGAGGAGCUUGCUCCUCUGACGUUAGCGGCGGACGGGUGAGUAACACGUGGAUAACCUACCUAUAAGACUGGGAUAACUUCGGGAAACCGGAGCUAAUACCGGAUAACAUGUUGAACCGCAUGGUUCAACAGUGAAAGACGGUUUUGCUGUCACUUAUAGAUGGAUCCGCGCCGCAUUAGCUAGUUGGUAAGGUAACGGCUUACCAAGGCAACGAUGCGUAGCCGACCUGAGAGGGUGAUCGGCCACACUGGAACUGAGACACGGUCCAGACUCCUACGGGAGGCAGCAGUAGGGAAUCUUCCGCAAUGGGCGAAAGCCUGACGGAGCAACGCCGCGUGAGUGAAGAAGGUCUUCGGAUCGUAAAACUCUGUUAUUAGGGAAGAACAAAUGUGUAAGUAACUAUGCACGUCUUGACGGUACCUAAUCAGAAAGCCACGGCUAACUACGUG
Molecule: ribosomal RNA, 496 nt
Filed under: uncultured bacterium
Lineage: Bacteria
Description: partial 16S ribosomal RNA
Rfam family: Bacterial small subunit ribosomal RNA
Source: RNAcentral